AUUGAACGCUGGCGGCAUGCUUUACACAUGCAAGUCGAACGGCAGCGCGGGCUUCGGCCUGGCGGCGAGUGGCGAACGGGUGAGUAAUACAUCGGAACGUGCCCAGUAGUGGGGGAUAGCUCGGCGAAAGCCGGAUUAAUACCGCAUACGACCUGAGGGUGAAAGCGGGGGAUCUUCGGACCUCGCGCUAUUGGAGCGGCCGAUGGCAGAUUAGCUAGUUGGUGGGGUAAAGGCCUACCAAGGCGACGAUCUGUAGCUGGUCUGAGAGGACUACCAGCCACACUGGGACUGAGACACGGCCCAGACUCCUACGGGAGGCAGCAGUGGGGAAUUUUGGACAAUGGGCGAAAGCCUGAUCCAGCAAUGCCGCGUGUGUGAUGAAGGCCUUCGGGUUGUAAAGCACUUUUGGCGGGAACGAAAAGGACUGUGCCAAUACCACGGUUCGAUGACGGUACCCGCAGAAUAAACACCGGCUAACUACGU
This 483-nucleotide ribosomal RNA is filed under the name uncultured bacterium. Its description in RNAcentral is "partial 16S ribosomal RNA". It matches the Rfam family "Bacterial small subunit ribosomal RNA", at positions 30 to 506 of the family's 1533-position model. The record is from RNAcentral.